RNAcentral lists this ribosomal RNA (498 nucleotides) under uncultured bacterium. RNAcentral's name for it is "partial 16S ribosomal RNA". It matches the Rfam family "Bacterial small subunit ribosomal RNA", at positions 28 to 507 of the family's 1533-position model. The record is from RNAcentral.
GACGAACGCUGGCGGCGUGCCUAAUACAUGCAAGUCGAACGAGAGCAACCGGUGCUUGCACUGGUCAAUCUAGUGGCGAACGGGUGAGUAACACGUGGGUAACCUGCCCAUCAGAGGGGGAUAACAUCCGGAAACAGAUGCUAAAACCGCAUAGGUCUUCGAACCGCAUGGUUUGAAGAGGAAAAGAGGCGCAAGCUUCUGCUGAUGGAUGGACCCGCGGUGCAUUAGCUAGUUGGUGAGGUAACGGCUCACCAAGGCCGUGAUGCAUAGCCGACCUGAGAGGGUGAUCGGCCACAUUGGGACUGAGACACGGCCCAAACUCCUACGGGAGGCAGCAGUAGGGAAUCUUCCGCAAUGGACGCAAGUCUGACGGAGCAACGCCGCGUGAGUGAAGAAGGUUUUCGGAUCGUAAAACUCUGUUGUUAGAGAAGAACAAGUGCUAGAGUAACUGUUAGCGCCUUGACGGUAUCUAACCAGAAAGCCACGGCUAACUACGUG